AUCCACCCAACAUUCAAUGUUAGCUCUGGACCAAUUAAGCCAGACCUUCCCCCUCCAUUUAGUGAGAUUAUGCUUAUAAAUGUCCCAUGUUGAUUGCUCUUUCUACUGCAAAAAGGUCUGACUCCUUUUCUGAAAAUCUCCAUCUCCUAAUCUCUUGAUCUCCUUCUGAUCUUUUGAUGCUUCUUUCAUACAAAAGCAUAUCCAAUCCGUAGCUUUUCUGCUCACAGUGGACCUUCACAUCAUCUUCCUACUCCUUUCUACCCAUUCAGACUUGCCAUUUCCCACCUUGCAAUAUCGAAUGACCUAAACCCUGCGUUGAAAUAGAUCCUAUUGUCCUCCAUCCUUAAAAAUAGGGUUUCUGGUUGAGAGAAAUGCUCAAAGGAGGGGAAAAGUAAGAGAGUAACCACAGAAGGUGAUAACUCAGGGAGGUGAGN
Molecule: long non-coding RNA, 434 nt
Filed under: Solanum tuberosum (potato)
Lineage: Eukaryota; Viridiplantae; Streptophyta; Magnoliopsida; Solanales; Solanaceae
Description: long non-coding RNA (STUB_LNC000945)
Source: RNAcentral